Molecule: long non-coding RNA, 1454 nt
Organism: Centruroides sculpturatus (bark scorpion)
Lineage: Eukaryota; Metazoa; Arthropoda; Arachnida; Scorpiones; Buthidae
Exons: 4
Source: RefSeq, a predicted model, not a curated record
AUAAAUGAUUCUUCUUUAUCUUUCUAACCGAAUUUAACUUAAUAUUAUACAAAAAAUACAACGAUUCUCAUCGGAAUGUAUUUCACAUCAUUUGAUUAACUUGUUCUUUUAUAUAAUUAAUGGAUGAAAUCGACGACGAAAGUCGAAUAAAGAAUCCAAGUUCAAAGUCCCGGCGAUAACGCAUCGUAAAUAAUUGUGCAAUAACUGCACCUCACUAGUAAAGGCCAACAGAAAAUAAACAAACGAAAUGAAACAUAAAUGAAAAAAAUGCAAUCCACGUUUCCACGAAACAGUGGAUUACAGUUCGAAUCAAGAUAAAACUCGAGCAUUCUCCAAAUGAAGCAAACUGGAGUGCUGAAAGAUCUCGACAAACAAUGAAUAUGUUCUCAACUAACAGUUCGUUCAUCUCUGUCCUUGAGCGCUGUCAAUCGAGCACAUUUGACCUUCUAUUAUCCCAUAUAUCACCUCUUUUCUUCUUAUCGGAGAAAAGAUGCCCCGGAUGAAUCGACCCGAUUCUCCUCCGAUAAGACGUAGAGGGGCAAUUUAGACCUUUCAUUUCACUAGGAACGACGUUUCGUUCUUCUUUUACAUAUUUAUUCAGUGGGAGAAGCUAUAUCAAGGUUGAUGGGGCUGUGAUGAGAAAACAGAUUUUGUCAUAAAAACAUCUCUGAAAAUCGUAGCCGAAUAGAGGACGUCUCGUCCUUCGCCCUGACCUUCAACAUAACACAUGUAGACAGGAACGAAUGAGAAUCGUCCUCAUCCGUCUUUAUAAUUAAGAAUUCAACAGUCUCGUUCGGACGGGGAUGAUGAUUUUUCCAUUGCAGAUAAUAGUGUUACGUGAGAUAAAAAUGGAGGAAAGUAGGAAAGGGAAAACCGAGAUGGGUGGAUGGAGUGAUCGAAUUGACAAUUGUGUGAGACGACACGCCUCUCGAAUUGGACGAAACGAUCGUCCCGUAUUCGUCGUGCCGUCCAGGCGGGCCAACGACAUCUUUGACCUUGAUUCGACCGACGAGAUUCAAUUAAGAGAUUUGUCGCCACAGCCAAGAAUCGAGAGAAGCGGGGGAAUCGAAUAAAAUAAAAAAGAGUGUGAGAUUAGGAGAGGGGCAGGAGGCCUCGUCGACUUGACCCUGUUCGACAGAUAAUUCGAAAGAAAUCUCUCUAGAGAGUGCGUGAGGUUCAGAAGAGGAAUCUUGAGGGUCCUUCGGGGAAACCUGACAGGAGAAAACUCUGUUUCUCCGUCAUUCAUGCGGAUGUUUACCAAAUUAUACUCCAAGACUUUUGACGUCAUAGGAAGUCUUGUGUAAAAUCGUCGGAAAAAAACCUUACUAAUUAUGUAUUAGAUUCGAGAAUCACGAUUACGCAGAAAAUUUAUUUUUGAAUAGAAAUACUUGGUUUAAAUCUCUAUUGUAAAUACAUUCUUAAAUUAAAGAUUUCACAGAAAAUAAAUAAAAAAU